This 73-nucleotide transfer RNA is filed under the name Pteropus alecto (black flying fox). It matches the Rfam family "tRNA". From Rfam's summary of the family: Transfer RNA (tRNA) molecules are approximately 80 nucleotides in length. Their secondary structure includes four short double-helical elements and three loops (D, anti-codon, and T loops). The record is from Rfam by way of RNAcentral. Lineage: Eukaryota; Metazoa; Chordata; Mammalia; Chiroptera; Pteropodidae.
GGUUCCACAGUGUAGCAGUUAGCACAUCUGCUUCACACACAAAAGGUCCUGGGUUCGCGUCCCAGUGGAGACA